ACUCAUCUUGAUAUACAUAUACAUACAAAAUCAGAGGGGAUAGAAAGGAGAGAUCUGAAAAAAAAGAAAUAGAAGACCACUUAGCUAGACCUCUUGAUUUAUGUGAUUGAAGCAAUCAACCGCUCACCCCAUGAGAAGACCUUCUCCCUUUCUUCUUUCUUCUUUUUUUGAGCAACACUCACACACGACAUACACACAAAAAAAGGGAUGAGAGAAACAGAGCUGGACCUAGACUAAAAAGCUAAAAACGGCAGUACUCCGAAAGAUAUACAAAAAACUUGAAACAAAAAAUCUUGGAAUCUCUAAUUCAAAAAGCCAAGUUUCAGUCUUAUUCUAAGAGGAUUUUUGGUCUUCUUCUUAAGGAAUUAGGAAGAGUGGUCCUAAUUCCGAAUUCCUAAAAAGAGAGAAAAUAACAGCAUUUUACCUUCUUCUUCAACAAGAACGACGAGCUCCUAAGCUAGCUCCUUUCCAUGGCUAAAUUGAGGACCUACCCUAAUCUCCUAAAAGCUUCUACCGCCUAGAUCCCUCUUUCUGUUACUGCUGCAACGGAUUUUUUGUUUGCUGAUGAACUCCGUUUUCCCGACGGAAAUUCUGGUGGCAACAGUCAUCGUUGAAGCAGAGUCGAGGUUCGUUCGAGAUUUCACUGCGAUUCGAGGUCGCUGUUCGAUUCUGCUCUUACUACUGGAUUUGAUGUUGCUGAACUCUACCAGUUGUAUCCUCAUUUUUAUUUGGGCAUUGUGUUGUUUGUUUGCUUCCAAUUAGGUAAGCCUCAAACCUCUCUGUAUUUACCAUGUUUUGAACGAUGAAUUUUUAGUAUCUUUGCUGUUUAUGAUUGUGAUUUGCUCGAAUUAUCAUGCUUUAGCCUAACAAUAUGAAUUGAUAUUAAGAUAAUGUUUGGUUCAUGUUGAGCUUGCCCACAAAAUUACGAAUGUGAGUGCCAAUGGUCUAGAUUUUCUUUUCCCAAAUAAAAAUCCCUUAUGCUGCUGUGCUUAUUUACUGAUCUAUAAGUAAUUAUUGCAAAUUUCUAUUUUUGUGGCUGAUAUACAUAUAGUAGUCUGUAAUCUUUGACUUUCAAAAUUGUGAAUUAGUGUGUUUGUUAAAUUUAGAUAAUUACAGUCCUUAUUGGCAUUAACUUAGUGAGUUUUGCUAAGAUAUUUUUGGUUUGGUUUAUGGGAAUUGCUUUAAUUUUUUUGUUUUGGUUUAUGGUGACACCUCCACCACUUGUGUACUUAAGAAUUAAAGAGAGACACAAAUGAAGCAAUAAUCUGCUGCCUUGUUCUAUUGCAGCAAAUAUUGGAAUUAAGAAUGAAGCUUAAGAGGAUUAAAGUUGAAAGCACGGGAAUUUGGUAGUGGCUUUAUCUCAUCUUUAAUUGAGAAGUUUUUGACUAAUCAACAAAGAUUUCCAGUAAUGGUUAACAAAGAAUUUUGAUUACUUUAGUGAGACAUUUUUGUUAGUGAUCGUUUUCAAAAUUAAGACCAAAGUAUGCGAUUCGCCCAAUGUUGGUUGUACAAUCUUAAUAAUAAUAAAAUGUUACUAAUUGUGUACACGUUCGCGUGACACGAGUACGAUUUAAGAAAUAAAUAUUCGUAGAAAAUGCUUUAGGCGCGAUUUAAUACAUUAUCGUAAUUGUGUACACGUUCGUUUGACAUAAUUACGAUCCUAAAAACAAAACCGGAGUAUGUGUUCGCGUAACUUUGACCAAAAUUUCUUAAUAUUAAUAAAG
RNAcentral lists this long non-coding RNA (1724 nucleotides) under Nicotiana tabacum (common tobacco). Its description in RNAcentral is "long non-coding RNA (NTAB_LNC009979)". The record is from RNAcentral. Lineage: Eukaryota; Viridiplantae; Streptophyta; Magnoliopsida; Solanales; Solanaceae.